GCCUUCAUGAUGUAAUGGUCAGCACAUUCGGCGCGUAUUCGACAGGCCCGUGGUUCGAGUCCCGGCGAGGGCA
This is a non-coding RNA of Stegodyphus mimosarum, 73 nucleotides long. The record is from Rfam. Lineage: Eukaryota; Metazoa; Arthropoda; Arachnida; Araneae; Eresidae.